GAGGUGACAGGAGCCAGUCCGACGGAUUGUUUUUAGUCAGGUUUUCUAAGGGGAGGGUCGGCUUGUUCAUAUGUCGAACAUGAUGAGAGCUUUUACACCCCAAGAGGAUGGCACGCCAAAUGUAUCGAGACGAUAAAAAUCUUGCCACAAGUUAAGUGCGUUCUUUUAACCUCGGUCGCGCAGCGUCAUUAAACUUCUGAGCGACAGCCAAAAGUGCGCUGUCAACAACUGCAACUGUGACUCAAGUCUCCACAAGGUCGUCCCUCUAUUUUGGAGAGCUGAGGUCAAAGGACGAAUGACGGCUGUAACAUACUACGCUCGGCAUGUGUAGGAUUUGCGUAAAAUAUGCAGCCUCUCUCCCCUCAAGGAAAGUAUUCUGCAGCUCCUCCAAACAAGUCCUCAACUCGCUCUUGAAAACUGCAGCAGCAGUCGAGAGAAGUGUUUGAAAUCUUUAAAGGCUCAAGGUUCCCGGGGGCUGAGAGGUCGUAAUCACAUUAUCAAAUAUAUCAAGCGCUGAUGAAAAAAGGAGCAUGGAGGUGUGGUGUUUUCAUGGCUAGAGUCUGAUUCAACCAAAUCCUCAGAUGUCAGACCUGCAGAUCACAGCCACAACUAAGACGUGGAGUGCCGAGAAAUGCUGUUAAUGA
This is a long non-coding RNA of Cololabis saira (Pacific saury), 644 nucleotides long. RefSeq lists it as uncharacterized. Lineage: Eukaryota; Metazoa; Chordata; Actinopteri; Beloniformes; Belonidae. The record is from RefSeq and is a predicted model, not a curated record. The transcript is spliced from 3 exons.